This 455-nucleotide unclassified non-coding RNA is filed under the name Hevea brasiliensis (rubber tree). The record is from RNAcentral. Lineage: Eukaryota; Viridiplantae; Streptophyta; Magnoliopsida; Malpighiales; Euphorbiaceae.
AUCCAUUAAUGACUAUUAAAGAGAGUAAUGACAAUUUAGCUACAGCUCUUUUAUUAUUAUUAAUGACAGCUUAGCAUACGUCGCUAAGGCCAUAUCAGACACACAUACAGACCAAAAACAUCUCUCUUAAUCAUCUCCAAUAAUAAUACCAUAAAAACGUAUCAUACGGCUGCAGAUUUGACUUUGACCCCAUCUCGACCUUUAAGUUCAACGAGAUCCAAUGGACAAUAGUUUCUGAUGGCCGUUAACUCAUACGGUGGCGCAUCACGGGCCAGCCACUGCUCGACAGUGAACUGCUGCUGCGAGCACGGCGUGUGGACACCAGUGAUGGUUACCUCAACGUAGUUACAGUACCAACCAUGAUGUGGUCCGCUUCCAUCAGAGGUCAAGUUCAAGGCGCAGACCGGAGUGCUCAGGCAAGGUCCCCUCCCGCUGAAAAUGUCGAGAUUGCCCCU